RNAcentral lists this ribosomal RNA (402 nucleotides) under Phymata borica. Its description in RNAcentral is "partial large subunit ribosomal RNA". The stretch from base 276 to 402 matches the Rfam family "Bacterial large subunit ribosomal RNA", at positions 2473 to 2600 of the family's 2925-position model. The record is from RNAcentral. Lineage: Eukaryota; Metazoa; Arthropoda; Insecta; Hemiptera; Phymatidae.
UGAAUGGUUGGACGAGAAAUCAACUUUCUUUAAUAUAUACUUAAAACUUAAUCUUUGAGUCAAAAAGCUUAAAUUUUAUUAAGGGACGAGAAGACCCUAUAGAACUUCAUUAGUUUAUUGGACCACACAAUUUUUUUGUUUACUUGUGUGGUUUAUGUAUAUUAAUUGUGUUGGGGUGACAUAGAAAUUUUAUUAACUUUCUUUUUUUAUAUUCAUUGAUUAGUGUAUUUUUAAGAUCCAGGUUUAUCUUGAUUAUAAGUUUAAGUUACCUUAGGGAUAACAGCGUAAUUCUUUUGGAGAGUUCUAAUCGAUGAAAGAGUUUGCGACCUCGAUGUUGGAUUAAAAUUAGUAUUAGGAGUAGAAGAUUAAAUACUAGGUCUGUUCGACCUUUAAAUUUUUACA